CCUACGGGAGGCAGCAGUGGGGAAUAUUGCACAAUGGGGGAAACCCUGAUGCAGCGACGCAGCGUGUGUGAAGAAGUAUUUCGGUACGUAAAGCACUAUCAGCAGGGACGAAAAUGACGGUACCUGACUAAGAAGCGCCGGCUAACUACGUGCCAGCAGCCGCGGUAAUACGUAGGGGGCAAGCGUUAUCCGGCUGUACUGGGUGGAAAGGGAGCGUAGACGGCAGCUCAAGUCUGGAGUGAAAUCCCAGGGCUCAACCAUGGAACUGCUUUGGAAACUGGGCAGCUAGAGUGCAGGAGAGGGAAGUGGAAUUCCUAGUGUAGCGGUGAAAUGCGUAGAUAUCAGGAGGAACACCAGUGGCGAAGGCGGCUUACUGGAC
RNAcentral lists this ribosomal RNA (379 nucleotides) under uncultured bacterium. RNAcentral describes it as "partial 16S ribosomal RNA". It matches the Rfam family "Bacterial small subunit ribosomal RNA", at positions 338 to 734 of the family's 1533-position model. The record is from RNAcentral.